Molecule: ribosomal RNA, 215 nt
Filed under: Jambiya vanharteni
Lineage: Eukaryota; Metazoa; Arthropoda; Insecta; Hymenoptera; Perilampidae
Description: partial 28S ribosomal RNA
Rfam family: Eukaryotic large subunit ribosomal RNA
Source: RNAcentral
UUUCCCUCAGGAUAGCUGGCACUCGCUUGAGCGAGUCUCAUCUGGUAAAGCGAAUGAUUAGAGGCCUUGGGGCCGAAACGACCUCAACCUAUUCUCAAACUUUAAAUGGGUGAGAUCUCUGGCUUGCUUGAACGUUGAAGCCACGAGAUAAAUUUUUUCAAUGGAUCAGAGUGCCAAGUGGGCCAAUUUUGGUAAGCAGAACUGGCGCUGUGGGA